GAUGAAGAACGCAGCGAAAUGCGAUAAGUAAUGUGAAUUGCAGAAUCCAGUGAAUCAUCGAAUCUUUGAACGCACAUUGCGCCCCCUGGUAUUCCGGGGGGCAUGCCUGUCCGAGCGUCAUUACAACCCUCAAGCUCAGCUUGGUGUUGGGCCCCGCCGCCCCGGCGGGCCCUAAAGUCAGUGGCGGUGCCGUCCGGCUCCGAGCGUAGUAAUUCUUCUCGCUCUGGAGGUCCGGUCGUGUGCUCGCCAGCAACCCCCAAUUUUUUUCAGGUUGACCUCGGAUCAGGUAGGGAUACCCGCUGAACUUAAGCAUAUCAAUAAGCGGAGGA
This 329-nucleotide unclassified non-coding RNA is filed under the name soil metagenome. RNAcentral's name for it is "partial contains 5.8S ribosomal RNA, internal transcribed spacer 2, and large subunit ribosomal RNA". The stretch from base 1 to 120 matches the Rfam family "5.8S ribosomal RNA", at positions 35 to 154 of the family's 154-position model. The record is from RNAcentral.